UACGUAGGGUGCAAGCGUUGUCCGGAAUUAUUGGGCGUAAAGAGCUUGUAGGCGGUUUGUCGCGUCUGCUGUGAAAUUUCGGGGCUCAACCCCGAACUUGCAGUGGGUACGGGCAGACUAGAGUGUGGUAGGGGAGACUGGAAUUCCUGGUGUAGCGGUGAAAUGCGCAGAUAUCAGGAGGAACACCGAUGGCGAAGGCAGGUCUCUGGGCCGAUAUUGACGCUGAGGAGCGAAAGCGUGGGGAGCGAACAGG
This 253-nucleotide ribosomal RNA is filed under the name uncultured bacterium. RNAcentral describes it as "partial 16S ribosomal RNA". It matches the Rfam family "Bacterial small subunit ribosomal RNA", at positions 524 to 776 of the family's 1533-position model. The record is from RNAcentral.